CAGUCGCCACGGUAACACAGAGGGUGCAAGCGUUAAUCGGAAUUACUGGGCGUAAAGCGCGCGUAGGUGGUUUGUUAAGUUGGAUGUGAAAGCCCCGGGCUCAACCUGGGAACUGCAUCCAAAACUGGCAAGCUAGAGUACGGUAGAGGGUGGUGGAAUUUCCUGUGUAGCGGUGAAAUGCGUAGAUAUAGGAAGGAACACCAGUGGCGAAGGCGACCACCUGGACUGAUACUGACACUGAGGUGCGAAAGCGUGGGGAGCAAACAGGAUUAGAUACCCCGGUAGUCCCUGUCUCUUAUAU
This 301-nucleotide ribosomal RNA is filed under the name uncultured bacterium. RNAcentral's name for it is "partial 16S ribosomal RNA". It matches the Rfam family "Bacterial small subunit ribosomal RNA", at positions 509 to 809 of the family's 1533-position model. The record is from RNAcentral.